Molecule: ribosomal RNA, 508 nt
Filed under: uncultured Glomus
Lineage: Eukaryota; Fungi; Glomeromycota; Glomeromycetes; Glomerales; Glomeraceae
Description: SSU rRNA
Rfam family: Eukaryotic small subunit ribosomal RNA
Source: RNAcentral
AGCAGCCGCGGUAAUUCCAGCUCCAAUAGCGUAUAUUAAAGUUGUUGCAGUUAAAAAGCUCGUAGUUGAAUUUCGGGGUUAAUAGGUUGGUCAUGCCUCUGGUAUGUACUGGUCUCACUGAUUCCUCCUUCCUGAUGAGCCGUAAUGCCAUUAAUUUGGUGUUGCGGGGAAUUUGGACUGUUACUUUGAAAAAAUUAGAGUGUUUAAAGCAAGCUAACGCUUGAAUACAUUAGCAUGGAAUAAUGAAAUAGGACGUUCGAUCCUAUUUUGUUGGUUUCUAGGAUUGACGUAAUGAUUAAUAGGGAUAGUUGGGGGCAUUAGUAUUCAAUUGUCAGAGGUGAAAUUCUUGGAUUUAUUGAAGACUAACUACUGCGAAAGCAUUUGCCAAGGAUGUUUUCAUUAAUCAAGAACGAAAGUUAGGGGAUCGAAGACGAUCAGAUACCGUCGUAGUCUUAACCAUAAACUAUGCCGACUAGGGAUCGGAUGAUGUUAAUUUUUUAAUGACUCA